Long non-coding RNA from Rhododendron vialii, 1636 nucleotides. RefSeq lists it as uncharacterized. Lineage: Eukaryota; Viridiplantae; Streptophyta; Magnoliopsida; Ericales; Ericaceae. The record is from RefSeq and is a predicted model, not a curated record. The transcript is spliced from 2 exons.
UAAUAGUGGUGUUAUGAUGUUAUUAAUGUUUAUUUGCAAGGGUAGUAUUGUCCUUUCAUGUAAUAGGGUUUACUUAGGGUUUCUAUGUUCUCCCUAUAUAAUAAUGUAAUGGCCUCUUAUAACAUAGAUACUGAAUAAUAGAAUUUCUCUGUUCUAGUCUUACCACAUGGUAUCAGAGCCAUAAGGUUCAGUGACCUGUGGUUUUUAAUUUGCCAGCAGGCGGCCUAGUCUUUUGCCGCCGUCCGCCGGACCACUCAUUUGCUUCUUCUUUUGAUCUUUUCGAUCCCUAGCCGCUGUUGCGCACACUGUUCACCUUACUGUUCAUCGCGCACUGUCCAUUGUGUUACUGUUCACCACACUAUUCGCUGGUUACUGUUCACCAUACUGUUCACUCUCCGGUUUAUCCAGUCUUUAGGGUUUUAAAGAGCCAAGGUAGUUUUUUCUUUUACACUUCAGUCCCUCAAGUUUGUUUUAUUGUAGUUUGGUCCCUAAACUUUGCAGUAUUUGUUUUGGUCCCUGUUUUUGUAGCAAUGUGACAGUUUGGUCCCUUGUGGAUAUUUCUCGGCUUUGGUAAAUUUAUGGGUGAGUGUUUGUCUUGUUGUUUGGUAGUUGAAUCCCCAUUUGUUGUGCCACAGGCACCUUGUCUUGUUGUGAUCCUUGUUGGAUCUGUUGGUGUGAUCCUUGUUGGAUCCUUUGUCUAUCUCUCCCCGUAUUUGGGGUUUGCACAUGAGGGGGAAUGUUGGAACUUCUCCCAUAUUUCUCCAUUUGCAAUUAUGUUCGUUGUUCAAUUGCAUCUGUUCGGGUACAGAAGUACUAGUGAUUUUUCAUUUUGGAUGGGAUCGAAGUUGCAUUACCGGGUGGAUUUUUUGGCUUUGCCUUUUGAAUUGUAGAGACCCGUAAUUUAAGAUUUCUUGACUUGAUUAACUAAAUGUGGACUUGGACGUCUUAAUAUGAAUAAUGACGUGAAUAAUGUGUUUUGGGGUUUAGUGUGUAAUGAUAUGGAAGUUUGAGGAGUUGGUGUAGUGUAAUGUUAAAUGGAGGGGUGAUAGUGUAAAUAGCUAUGUAUAUAUGUGUGUGUUGGACACUAGGGAAAUUCACUUUCCCUUCUUCCUCUUUCAACUCAUGCCUCUCUUCUCUCUCUCUCUCUUGAGCUCAACAUUUCACAAUACAUCAAACCCACCAAGAUCCACUACAUAACCUUAGUAUUCAAGUGUUCUUAAGCUCCGAAGUCACGUGGCUUGGCUUAGAGAGAGAGCAUUUCAUUGGAUUUCAAGUUUGAAGUUCUAGGGUUCGAUCGAUCUUGGAUCUUUGCUUCCAAUCUUUGAGCUCAACCCUUCAUUUUUCAGGUAUUAAUCAAGGACAAUAGCAUGGAGUGUUUGGCAUGCAUCAAGUGACAAACUUUUGAAAGCUUACAUUGAGGAUUCCUUUGUUUCAUCUGUGUAAAUCAUGUUUUGGUGAUGGAAGGGUAAUCUAAUCUCAUUUAGUUCGACUGAGUUUGACUAAAGACACUUAAUUUAUUUUCUUUAAUUCGUACUUAUGUUAAUUUGGGGCUUUGAGCCAUGAAUGUAAUCUUUUGGAAACUCUUAGAGGUUGGACUAUAAUUUGAUGACAAGGAAAUGAAAAACUCUUUUAGGUA